ACUGGCUUCGACGUGGGUCGCGAACCCUCAGGUGCAUGCCGAGGCGCAGAACACCUCGUAAAUCCAACUGCAACCAAUAUAGUUGCCAACGACGACAACUACGCACUAGCUGCUUAAACACCAGCCUAGAGCCCUCUGACUGAACUCGUGCAUGUGCGGUUCAGACCCAGGGGUCACCCCUACACAUGAUCGCGCGUGAGGCAUGUUCAGGGCCGAGCCGCUAAAACACACUGAGCUGGCUGCUGGCUUUCCCUGCCUGUCGGGUAGCCCGCAGUGAGAACAAUUGACCGGCUAAGCAUGUAGAGCUUGAGGCGGAGGGCUUGCGGACGCGGGUUCGAUUGA
RNAcentral lists this transfer-messenger RNA (342 nucleotides) under Gammaproteobacteria bacterium. It matches the Rfam family "transfer-messenger RNA". From Rfam's summary of the family: Bacterial tmRNA, also known as 10Sa RNA or SsrA, is named for its dual tRNA and mRNA-like properties. Its role is to liberate the mRNA from a stalled ribosome. Lineage: Bacteria; Pseudomonadati; Pseudomonadota; Gammaproteobacteria. The record is from RNAcentral.